Molecule: small nuclear RNA, 21 nt
Filed under: Arabidopsis thaliana (thale cress)
Lineage: Eukaryota; Viridiplantae; Streptophyta; Magnoliopsida; Brassicales; Brassicaceae
Description: snRNA_14482
Source: RNAcentral
UAUCUUUGAAAUUGCUCAAAU